CUACGGGUUGCAGCAGUGGGGAAUCUUGCGCAAUGGGGGGAACCCUGACGCAGCAACGCCGCGUGAGUGAUGAAGGCUUUCGGGUCGUAAAGCUCUGUCAAGUGGGAAGAACCUAUGCAGUGUUAAUAUCACUGUAUACUGACGGUACCACUGAAGGAAGCACCGGCUAACUCCGUGCCAGCAGCCGCGGUAAUACGGGGGGUGCAAGCGUUAUUCGGAAUCAUUGGGCGUAAAGGGCACGUAGGCGGCUUGGUAAGUCAGAUGUGAAAGCCCGGGGCUUAACCCCGGAAGUGCAUUUGAUACUGUCAGGCUUGAGUAUGGGAGAGGGAAGUGGAAUUCCUGGUGUAGAGGUGAAAUUCGUAGAUAUCAGGAGGAACACCGGUGGCGAAGGCGACUUCCUGGACCAAUACUGACGCUGAGGUGCGAAGGCGUGGGUAGCAAACAGGAUUAGAUACCCCAGUAGUC
This 465-nucleotide ribosomal RNA is filed under the name uncultured bacterium. RNAcentral's name for it is "partial 16S ribosomal RNA". It matches the Rfam family "Bacterial small subunit ribosomal RNA", at positions 339 to 795 of the family's 1533-position model. The record is from RNAcentral.